This 402-nucleotide ribosomal RNA is filed under the name uncultured bacterium. Its description in RNAcentral is "bacterial SSU rRNA". It matches the Rfam family "Bacterial small subunit ribosomal RNA", at positions 355 to 774 of the family's 1533-position model. The record is from RNAcentral.
UCGGGAAUUUUGGGCAAUGGGCGAAAGCCUGACCCAGCAACGCCGCGUGAGGGAUGAAGUAUUUCGGUAUGUAAACCUCGAAAGAAUGGGAAGAAUAAAUGACGGUACCAUUUAUAAGCUCCGGCUAACUACGUGCCAGCAGCCGCGGUAAUACGUAGGGAGCAAGCGUUGUUCGGAUUUACUGGGCGUAAAGGGCGCGUAGGCGGCGCGGUAAGUCACUUGUGAAAUCUCUGAGCUUAACUCAGAACGGCCAAGUGAUACUGCUGUGCUAGAGUGCGGAAGAGGCAACCGGAAUUCUUGGUGUAGCGGUGAAAUGCGUAGAUAUCAAGAGGAACACCAGAGGCGAAGGCGGGUUGCUGGGCCGACACUGACGCUGAUGAGAGAAAGCCUGGGGAGCAAACG